Molecule: ribosomal RNA, 218 nt
Filed under: uncultured Lactobacillus sp.
Lineage: Bacteria; Bacillati; Bacillota; Bacilli; Lactobacillales; Lactobacillaceae
Description: partial 16S ribosomal RNA
Rfam family: Bacterial small subunit ribosomal RNA
Source: RNAcentral
ACGUUAGGAAACGAGGUGACUAAUACGGAUAAGAAAGCGGAUCGCAUGAUCAGCUUUUAAAAGGCGGCGUAAGCUGUCGCUAUGGGAUGGCCCCGCGGUGCAUUAGCUAGUUGGUAAGGUAAAGGCUUACCAAGGCGAUGAUGCAUAGCCGAGUUGAGAGACUGAUCGGCCACAUUGGGACUGAGACACGGCCCAAACUCCUACGGGAGGCAGCAGUC